Molecule: ribosomal RNA, 506 nt
Filed under: uncultured bacterium
Lineage: Bacteria
Description: bacterial SSU rRNA
Rfam family: Bacterial small subunit ribosomal RNA
Source: RNAcentral
AAUGAACGCUGGCGGCGUGCCUAACACAUGCAAGUCGAACGAGAAAUUUCCGGCUUCGGCGGAGAGAGUAAAGUGGCGCACGGGUGAGUAACGCGUGGGUAACCUGCCCUCGAAUCCGGGAUAACUUCGCGAAAGCGUUGCUAAUACCGGAUAUUGUCCUUUAAGCUACGGCUUUUUGGAUAAAGAUGACCUCUUCAUGAAAGUUGUCGUUUGGGGAUGGGCCCGCGUACCAUUAGCUUGUUGGUAGGGUAAUGGCCUACCAAGGCUACGAUGGUUAGCUGGUCUGAGAGGAUGAUCAGCCACACUGGAACUGAACACGGUCCAGACUCCUACGGGAGGCAGCAGUGAGGAAUUUUGCGCAAUGGGGGAAACCCUGACGCAGCAACGCCGUGUGAGUGAAGAAGGCUUUCGGGUCGUAAAGCUCUGUCAAGUGGGAAAAAACACUUCCGAUUAAUAGUCGAGAAGGAUUGAUGGUACCACUGGAGGAAGCACCGGCUAACUCCGUG